RNAcentral lists this ribosomal RNA (468 nucleotides) under uncultured bacterium. RNAcentral's name for it is "partial 16S ribosomal RNA". It matches the Rfam family "Bacterial small subunit ribosomal RNA", at positions 28 to 507 of the family's 1533-position model. The record is from RNAcentral.
GACGAACGCUGGCGGCGUGCUUAACACAUGCAAGUCGAACGGAAAGGCCCUGCUUUUGUGGGGUGCUCGAGUGGCGAACGGGUGAGUAACACGUGAGUAACCUGCCCUUGACUUUGGGAUAACUUCAGGAAACUGGGGCUAAUACCGGAUAGGAGCUCCUGCUGCAUGGUGGGGGUUGGAAAGUUUCGGCGGUUGGGGAUGGACUCGCGGCUUAUCAGCUUGUUGGUGUGGUAGUGGCUGACCAAGGCUUGGACGGGUAGCCGGCCUGAGAGGGUGGCCGGCCACAUUGGGAUUGAGAUACGGCCCAGACUCCUCCGGGAGGCAGCAGUGGGGAAUAUUGCACAAUGGGCGGAAGCCUGAUGCAGCAACGCCGCGUGCGGGAUGACGGCCUUCGGGUUGUAAACCGCUUUCGCCUGUGACGAAGCGUGAGUGACGGUAAUGGGUAAAGAAGCACCGGCUAACUACGUG